RNAcentral lists this ribosomal RNA (503 nucleotides) under uncultured Bacillota bacterium. Its description in RNAcentral is "bacterial SSU rRNA". It matches the Rfam family "Bacterial small subunit ribosomal RNA", at positions 29 to 507 of the family's 1533-position model. The record is from RNAcentral. Lineage: Bacteria; Bacillati; Bacillota.
AACGAACGCUGGCGGCGUGCUUAACACAUGCAAGUCAAACGGGAAAGUCCUCUUCGGGGGGCGAGUACAGUGGCGAACGGGUGAGUAACACGUGGGCAACCUGCCCUCGGGAUCGGGAUAACCUCGCGAAAGUGGGGCUAAUACCGGGUAAGACCACGCUGUCCACGGACAGCGGGGUAAAAGGUGGCCUCUCCAUGGAAGCUAUCACCUGAGGAUGGGCCCGCGGCCUAUUAGCUUGUUGGUGAGGUAACGGCUCACCAAGGCGACGAUGGGUAGCCGGCUUGAGAGGGUGUACGGCCACACUGGCACUGAGACACGGGCCAGACUCCUACGGGAGGCAGCAGUGGGGAAUUUUGCGCAAUGGGGGAAACCCUGACGCAGCAACGCCGCGUGAGUGAUGAAGGCCUUCGGGUUGUAAAGCUCUGUCAGGGGGAAAGAAGGCACCUGGGUUAAUAGCCCAAGGGCUGACGGUACCCCCAAAGGAAGCCACGGCUAACUACGUG